This 451-nucleotide long non-coding RNA is filed under the name Ananas comosus (pineapple). RNAcentral's name for it is "long non-coding RNA (ACOM_LNC044805)". Lineage: Eukaryota; Viridiplantae; Streptophyta; Magnoliopsida; Poales; Bromeliaceae. The record is from RNAcentral.
UUCGGACUACGUCAACAGACGUCGAACGGACAGCAUCUCCCCUAUCCGCCCAAGACUCCAACAACAAGUAUAAUUAAGCAAUCAAACAACGAGAUUUGCAAUUAUACAAGCCUUGCACGAGGGCAAACAACAACAAGAAUGAAAGCUCUAAGCUACUGCAUAUAACCACAUACAUAAUAUUGAUUACAUUUUAACCAAAUACAAGUAAACUAAAACUAUUACAUUCAAUUUUCUUUCAUCCAUAAUUUCUUUACAUUAUAAUCAUCCAACUCAAUAUACAUGAUUGUUUACAACUUUUACAUUUCUUGAUCAACAAAAUAAAAGUUGAUACAUGAACAAAAAGGAAUGACUAUAAUGCAAAUACUCCGGUGACCACUAUCUGCGCAAGACCCUUGCUUCGAUCCUCCGCCACCCCGCUUGCGCUCGGAUCUAUAGGGUUAGUGGUGUAAGA